GGUUAAAUAACAUAAUGGUAUUGUAUUAAAUUGCAAAUUUAAAUAUUAUUGGUUCAAAUCCAAUUUUAACUU
RNAcentral lists this transfer RNA (72 nucleotides) under Surirella sp. Its description in RNAcentral is "tRNA-Cys". It matches the Rfam family "tRNA". Rfam says of the family: Transfer RNA (tRNA) molecules are approximately 80 nucleotides in length. The record is from RNAcentral. Lineage: Eukaryota; Bacillariophyta; Bacillariophyceae; Surirellales; Surirellaceae.